Molecule: non-coding RNA, 153 nt
Organism: Myotis davidii
Lineage: Eukaryota; Metazoa; Chordata; Mammalia; Chiroptera; Vespertilionidae
Source: Rfam
AUUUCCUGAGCUGGAAAGAGGCCAGGUAAAGUAGUAUAUGAUAUCCUUCUUAUUCCCAAGCAGAUGUCUGUGGUUUCUUUUUCUUUGGUCAAAUCUGCUUUGUAUUUCUUCUUGGUUAAUACACUCUGAAUGCUCCAGGCUGCUUUCUGCCUG